Molecule: long non-coding RNA, 392 nt
Filed under: Musa acuminata (dwarf banana)
Lineage: Eukaryota; Viridiplantae; Streptophyta; Magnoliopsida; Zingiberales; Musaceae
Description: long non-coding RNA (MACU_LNC007336)
Source: RNAcentral
AGCUCGGUAUCAAAAGGUCAAAAAUUACGAUCCUUGUUUUGCAGAAUCUGUAGGCUCAUUUGAAACAGAAGUUUGGGCAGACAACCUUACUCUGAAUUCUUAAAAUAAGCUAUCAAAAGAAAGGUUUAUGAGUCUAUAUUCUGAUCAAAUAAGUUUUGUCUAAAUCAAAGGUCAAUACAUGAAGUUAUAACCAUAACAAGGUAGAAAGAUCAUAAUCUCAAAAGUUGCACAGAUUCGAAUCGUUACGUCUAAACAGGAGAUAUAUCAAAUGCAAGGCUAGAACAAUUCAAAGUUCCUCAUAUUCAAAGCAAAUAUAGAGAUAAAAUUGCAGUAAGGAAAGAUCAGGACACUUGCAAUAGGAAAGAUUAGAAAGCUUGCAAUAGGAAGGAUCG